ACUGCACCUCAGUUGAAGACUACAGAUAAAGUAUGUAGAGAAGUUGAAAGAAAUUACCAGAGAAAAAAAAGUUAUAGCUCUCCCUUCUUAGAAAGAGGCUUAUUAUUAACUACAACAUCCCCAGUGGGUGAUAGGGUGUUAUAAGUAAUCUUGAAAAUAUCUGAAGAUCAUAGAGAGCAGACAUGUGAUGCCCCAUAGUGGACAGCAGAAAGAAACUAUUUGUGCAGAGCAAGCCCAGCACUAAGAAACAGAACGAUAUCAUCAGAAGACACAGAUAGCUCUGUCAGGCCAGAAGGGUAUCAGUUCGUGUCAUUUUGAUGGAACAAAAGGCUAGCCGAUGAAGGUCCAGUCCUGGGAGCAUGUACAUAUGGGCCAGUAGGUUUCUUCACAGCUUGGAGAAGGCUCUGCAAGGCUGUGUCUUUGCUGCUGCUACAGAAGUAGGUGGAUGAGUCCUCUG
Phascolarctos cinereus (koala) is the source of this 457-nucleotide non-coding RNA. NCBI's taxonomy places the organism in Eukaryota, Metazoa, Chordata, Mammalia, Diprotodontia, Phascolarctidae. The record is from RefSeq and is a predicted model, not a curated record.